CCCUAGAUGUCCGGGGCCGCACGCGCGCUACACUGAAGGAAUCAGCGUGGCUUUCUCCCUGACCCGAAAGGGUUGGGAAACCCGUUGAAUCUCCUUCGUGAUAGGGAUUGGGGCUUGAAAUUGUUCCCCAUGAACGAGGAAUUCCCAGUAAGCGCGAGUCAUAAGCUCGCGUUGAUUACGUCCCUGCCCUUUGUACACACCGCCCGUCGCUACUACCGAUUGAACGGUUUAGUGAGGACCUCGGAUUGGUCUCGGCCCGCUCUUUACCGGGCGGCGCCGUUGGUCGAGAAGACGCUCGAACUUGAUCGUUUAGAGGAAGUAAAAGUCGUAACA
RNAcentral lists this ribosomal RNA (333 nucleotides) under uncultured eukaryote. RNAcentral's name for it is "partial 18S ribosomal RNA". It matches the Rfam family "Eukaryotic small subunit ribosomal RNA", at positions 1471 to 1796 of the family's 1831-position model. The record is from RNAcentral.